UACGAAGGGGGCUAGCGUUGUUCGGAAUUACUGGGCGUAAAGCGCGCGCAGGCGGCUAUCCAAGUCAGUGGUGAAAGCCCGGAGCUCAACUCCGGAACUGGCCAUUGAAACUGUUUAGCUUGAGGACGAGAGAGGUGAGUGGAAUUCCCAGUGUAGAGGUGAAAUUCGUAGAUAUUGGGAAGAACGCCGGUGGCGAAGGCGGCCCACUGGUCCGGUACUGACGCUGAGGUGCGAAAGCGUGGGGAGCAAACGGAUUGAGAAACCGUGUAGUC
This 272-nucleotide ribosomal RNA is filed under the name uncultured bacterium. RNAcentral's name for it is "partial 16S ribosomal RNA". It matches the Rfam family "Bacterial small subunit ribosomal RNA", at positions 524 to 795 of the family's 1533-position model. The record is from RNAcentral.